GCUGGUGUUGCGCGGAAAAUAAUUGCGGAACACGAAGCCGCGGCACUGGUCGAUGAUGUGAAACAGAGGAUUCCAGGCAAACAUAGUCAGCAUGAAACCACCCAGAGCGUUGGCGACAAACAUCUUUCCCGAAAACACCAUGUUCAUGCGGCG
RNAcentral lists this non-coding RNA (153 nucleotides) under Ruegeria sp. ANG-R. RNAcentral describes it as "Ruegeria cis2 sRNA". It matches the Rfam family "Ruegeria cis2 sRNA". From Rfam's summary of the family: Cis-encoded. Targets ABC transporter. Functions in transport. The record is from Rfam by way of RNAcentral. Lineage: Bacteria; Pseudomonadati; Pseudomonadota; Alphaproteobacteria; Rhodobacterales; Roseobacteraceae.